GAUGAACGCUGGCGGCGUGCCUAAUACGUGCAAGUCGAGCGAACAGACGAGGAGCUUGCUCCUUUGACGUUAGCGGCGGACGGGUGAGUAACACGUAGGUAACCUACCUAUAAGACUGGGAUAACUUCGGGAAACCGGAGCUAAUACCGGAUAAUAUUUCGAACCGCAUGGUUCGAUAGUGAAAGAUGGCUUUGCUAUCACUUAUCGAUGGACCUGCGCCGUAUUAGCUAGUUGGUAAGGUAACGGCUUACCAAGGCAACGAUACGUAGCCGACCUGAGAGGGUGAUAGGCCACACUGGAACUGAGACACGGUCCAGACUCCUAAGGGAGGCAGCAGUAGGGAAUCUUCCGCAAUGGGCGAAAGCAUGACGGAGCAACGCCGCGUGAGUGAUGAAGGUCUUCGGAUCGUAAAACUCUGUUAUUAGGGAAGAACAAACGUGUAAGUAACUGUGCACGUCUUGACGGUACCUAAUCAGAAAGCCACGGCUAACUACGUG
RNAcentral lists this ribosomal RNA (497 nucleotides) under uncultured bacterium. Its description in RNAcentral is "partial 16S ribosomal RNA". It matches the Rfam family "Bacterial small subunit ribosomal RNA", at positions 28 to 507 of the family's 1533-position model. The record is from RNAcentral.